AGCCUGAACGCUGGCGGCGUGGUUAAGACAUGCAAGUCGUACGGUGUAGCAAUACACAGUGGCGAACGGGUGAGUAAUGAAUCGCUAAUGUACCCCGGACUCUGGGAUAGCUGCCUGAAAGGGCAGGUAAUACCAGAUAACGUAGCUUUACCGCAUGGUAGAGUUCCCAAAGGUCCGCCGGUCUGGGAGCAGGCGAUUUCGUAUCAGCUAGUUGGUGAGGUAACGGCUCACCAAGGCGAUGACGCGUAGCCGGACUGAGAGGUUGGCCGGCCACAUUGGGACUGAGACACUGCCCAGACUCCUACGGGGGCUGCAGUAACGAAUCUUCCGCAAUGCACGAAAGUGUGACGGAGCGACGCCGCGUGUGGGACGAAGCCCGUUCGGGGUGUAAACCACUGUCAGAGGAUAGAAAGUUCUGAUCAUCCUCAGAGGAAGGCACGGCUAACUCUGCGCCAGCAGCCGCGGUAA
Molecule: ribosomal RNA, 468 nt
Filed under: uncultured bacterium
Lineage: Bacteria
Description: SSU rRNA
Rfam family: Bacterial small subunit ribosomal RNA
Source: RNAcentral